CAAUAGCGUAUAUUAAAGUUGUUGCGGUUAAAAGCUCGUAGUUGGAUUUCUGCUGAGGACGACCGGUCCGCCCUCUGGGUGAGUAUCUGGCUUGGCCUUGGCAUCUUCUUGGAGAACGUAGCUGCACUUGACUGUGUGGUGCGGUAUCCAGGACUUUUACUUUUGAGGAAAUUAGAGUGUUUCAAGCAGGCACACGCCUUGAAUACAUUAGCAUGGAAUGAUGGAAUAGGACCUCGGUUCUAUUUUGUUGGUUUUCGGAGCUCGAGGUAAUGAUUAAGAGGGACUGACGGGGCAGUUCGUAUUGCGGUGUUAGGAGGUGAAAUUCUUGGAUCAUCGCAAGACGAACUACAGCGAAAGCAUUUGCCAAGCAU
Molecule: ribosomal RNA, 371 nt
Filed under: uncultured eukaryote
Lineage: Eukaryota
Description: bacterial SSU rRNA
Rfam family: Eukaryotic small subunit ribosomal RNA
Source: RNAcentral